RNAcentral lists this transfer RNA (69 nucleotides) under Triticum aestivum (bread wheat). It matches the Rfam family "tRNA". From Rfam's summary of the family: Transfer RNA (tRNA) molecules are approximately 80 nucleotides in length. Their secondary structure includes four short double-helical elements and three loops (D, anti-codon, and T loops). The record is from Rfam by way of RNAcentral. Lineage: Eukaryota; Viridiplantae; Streptophyta; Magnoliopsida; Poales; Poaceae.
UCCAUUGCUCAGUUGGUAGAGCACAAGGCUCUUAACCUUGUGGUUGUGGUUUCAAGCCCUACGAUGGAG